Molecule: ribosomal RNA, 467 nt
Filed under: uncultured bacterium
Lineage: Bacteria
Description: bacterial SSU rRNA
Rfam family: Bacterial small subunit ribosomal RNA
Source: RNAcentral
CCUACGGGCGGCUGCAGUGGGGAAGCUUCGGCAAUGGGCGAAAGCCUGACCGAGCGACGCCGCGUGCAGGACGAAGGCCUUCGGGUUGUAAACUGCUUUCGACAGGGAUGAACGGUAGGGGUGUGAAUAGCGUUCCUAUUUGACAGUACCUGGAGAAGAAGCCCCGGCUAACUCCGUGCCAGCAGCCGCGGUAAUACGGAGGGGGCAAGCGUUGUUCGGAUUUAUUGGGCGUAAAGCGCGUGUAGGCGGUACGGUAAGUCGGAUGUUAAAGACCCACGGCUCACCCGGGGGAGUGCGUUCGAUACUGCCGUGCUAGAGUGCAGGAGAGGAAAGUGGAAUUCCUGGUGUAGCGGUGAAAUGCGUAGAUAUCAGGAGGAACACCGGUGGCGAAGGCGGCUUUCUGGCCUGUAACUGACGCUGAGACGCGAAAGCCUGGGGAGCGAACGGGAUUAGAUACCCCAGUAGUC